This 253-nucleotide ribosomal RNA is filed under the name uncultured bacterium. Its description in RNAcentral is "partial 16S ribosomal RNA". It matches the Rfam family "Bacterial small subunit ribosomal RNA", at positions 524 to 776 of the family's 1533-position model. The record is from RNAcentral.
GACGGAGGAUGCAAGCGUUAUCCGGAAUUAUUGGGCGUAAAGCGUCCGCAGGUGGCUGUUCAAGUCUGCUGUCAAAGCGCAGAGCUUAACUCUGUACAGGCGGUGGAAACUGAAGAGCUAGAGUAUGGUAGGGGCAGAGGGAAUUCCUGGUGUAGCGGUGAAAUGCGUAGAGAUCAGGAAGAACAUCGGUGGCGAAGGCGCUCUGCUGGACCAUAACUGACACUCAGGGACGAAAGCUAGGGGAGCGAAUGGG